Molecule: ribosomal RNA, 114 nt
Filed under: Candidatus Aenigmatarchaeota archaeon
Lineage: Archaea; Nanobdellati; Candidatus Aenigmatarchaeota
Source: RNAcentral
GAUGGCGGCCAAAGUGGGAGUGUUUACCCGUACCCAUUCCGAACACGGAAGUCAAGCCUCCCAACGGUCUGGUGUGUACUUCAUUCGUGAGGGAAAUCCAGAUAGCUGCCUCCA